UAACAGGUUUGAGUACAAAUUCUGCUAGGACAGUGAGCAUAACACUGUUGUGAGGAAGGUGUGGGAAAAUCACGCGGCAACUAGGUUGCGUGAUUUUUGGUAUGAAGCACAAAAAAA
Molecule: long non-coding RNA, 117 nt
Organism: Populus euphratica (Euphrates poplar)
Lineage: Eukaryota; Viridiplantae; Streptophyta; Magnoliopsida; Malpighiales; Salicaceae
Exons: 3
Source: RefSeq, a predicted model, not a curated record